UACGUAGGGUGCAAGCGUUAUCCGGAAUUAUUGGGCGUAAAGAGCUCGUAGGCGGUUUGUCGCGUCUGCUGUGAAAACCCGAGGCUCAACCUCGGGCCUGCAGUGGGUACGGGCAGACUAGAGUGCGGUAGGGGAGAUUGGAAUUCCUGGUGUAGCGGUGGAAUGCGCAGAUAUCAGGAAGAACACCUAUGGCGAAGGCAGCUCUCUGGGACGGUACUGACGCUGAGACGCGAAGGCGUGGGGAGCGAACGGG
This 253-nucleotide ribosomal RNA is filed under the name uncultured bacterium. RNAcentral describes it as "partial 16S ribosomal RNA". It matches the Rfam family "Bacterial small subunit ribosomal RNA", at positions 524 to 776 of the family's 1533-position model. The record is from RNAcentral.